GGGUUGUGAGGUUAAGCGACUAAGCGUACACGGUGGAUGCCCUGGCAGUCAGAGGCGAUGAAGGACGUGCUAAUCUGCGAAAAGCGUCGGUAAGGUGAUAUGAACCGUUAUAACCGGCGAUGUCCGAAUGGGGAAACCCAGUGCAAUUCGUUGCACUAUCGUUAACUGAAUACAUAGGUUAACGAGGCGAACCGGGGGAACUGAAACAUCUAAGUACCCCGAGGAAAAGAAAUCAACCGAGAUUCCCCCAGUAGCGGCGAGCGAACGGGGAGCAGCCCAGAGUCUGAAUCAGCUUGUGUGUUAGUGGAACGGUCUGGAAAGUCCGACGGUACAGGGUGAUAGUCCCGUACACCAAAAUGCACAGGCUGUGAACUCGAAGAGUAGGGCGGGACACGUGGUAUCCUGUCUGAAUAUGGGGGGACCAUCCUCCAAGGCUAAAUACUCCUGACUGACCGAUAGUGAACCAGUACCGUGAGGGAAAGGCGAAAAGAACCCCGGCGAGGGGAGUGAAAAAGAACCUGAAACCGUGUACGUACAAGCAGUGGGAGCACCUUCGGGUGUGACUGCGUACCUUUUGUAUAAUGGGUCAGCGACUUAUAUUCUGUAGCAAGGUUAACCGUAUAGGGGAGCCGCAGGGAAACCGAGUCUUAACUGGGCGUUAAGUUGCAGGGUAUAGACCCGAAACCCGGUGAUCUAGCCAUGGGCAGGUUGAAGGUUGGGUAACACUAACUGGAGGACCGAACCGACUAAUGUUGAAAAAUUAGCGGAUGACUUGUGGCUGGGGGUGAAAGGCCAAUCAAACCGGGAGAUAGCUGGUUCUCCCCGAAAGCUAUUUAGGUAGCGCCUCGUGAAUUCAUCUUCGGGGGUAGAGCACUGUUUCGGCUAGGGGGUCAUCCCGACUUACCAACCCGAUGCAAACUACGAAUACCGAAGAAUGUUAUCACGGGAGACACACGGCGGGUGCUAACGUCCGUCGUGAAGAGGGAAACAACCCAGACCGCCAGCUAAGGUCCCAAAGUCAUGGUUAAGUGGGAAACGAUGUGGGAAGGCACAGACAGCCAGGAUGUUGGCUUAGAAGCAGCCAUCAUUUAAAGAAAGCGUAAUAGCUCACUGGUCGAGUCGGCCUGCGCGGAAGAUGUAACGGGGCUAAACCAUGCACCGAAGCUGCGGCAGCGACACUAUGUGUUGUUGGGUAGGGGAGCGUUCUGUAAGCCUGCGAAGGUGUGCUGUGAGGCAUGCUGGAGGUAUCAGAAGUGCGAAUGCUGACAUAAGUAACGAUAAAGCGGGUGAAAAGCCCGCUCGCCGGAAGACCAAGGGUUCCUGUCCAACGUUAAUCGGGGCAGGGUGAGUCGACCCCUAAGGCGAGGCCGAAAGGCGUAGUCGAUGGGAAACAGGUUAAUAUUCCUGUACUUGGUGUUACUGCGAAGGGGGGACGGAGAAGGCUAUGUUAGCCGGGCGACGGUUGUCCCGGUUUAAGCAUGUAGGCUGAUUGUCCAGGCAAAUCCGGAUAAUCAAGGCUGAGGUGUGAUGACGAGGCACUACGGUGCUGAAGUAACAAAUGCCCUGCUUCCAGGAAAAGCCUCUAAGCAUCAGGUAACAUUAAAUCGUACCCCAAACCGACACAGGUGGUCAGGUAGAGAAUACCAAGGCGCUUGAGAGAACUCGGGUGAAGGAACUAGGCAAAAUGGUGCCGUAACUUCGGGAGAAGGCACGCUGGUGUGUAGGUGAAGUCCCUGCGGAUGGAGCUGAGACCAGUCGAAGAUACCAGCUGGCUGCAACUGUUUAUUAAAAACACAGCACUGUGCAAACACGAAAGUGGACGUAUACGGUGUGACGCCUGCCCGGUGCCGGAAGGUUAAUUGAUGGGGUUAUCCGUAAGGAGAAGCUCUUGAUCGAAGCCCCGGUAAACGGCGGCCGUAACUAUAACGGUCCUAAGGUAGCGAAAUUCCUUGUCGGGUAAGUUCCGACCUGCACGAAUGGCGUAAUGAUGGCCAGGCUGUCUCCACCCGAGACUCAGUGAAAUUGAACUCGCUGUGAAGAUGCAGUGUACCCGCGGCAAGACGGAAAGACCCCGUGAACCUUUACUAUAGCUUGACACUGAACAUUGAGCCUUGAUGUGUAGGAUAGGUGGGAGGCUUUGAAGCGUGGACGCCAGUCUGCGUGGAGCCAACCUUGAAAUACCACCCUUUAAUGUUUGAUGUUCUAACGUUGGCCCCUUACCGGGGUUGCGGACAGUGUCUGGUGGGUAGUUUGACUGGGGCGGUCUCCUCCCAAAGCGUAACGGAGGAGCACGAAGGUUAGCUAAUCCUGGUCGGACAUCAGGAGGUUAGUGCAAUGGCAUAAGCUAGCUUGACUGCGAGCGUGACGGCGCGAGCAGGUGCGAAAGCAGGUCAUAGUGAUCCGGUGGUUCUGAAUGGAAGGGCCAUCGCUCAACGGAUAAAAGGUACUCCGGGGAUAACAGGCUGAUACCGCCCAAGAGUUCAUAUCGACGGCGGUGUUUGGCACCUCGAUGUCGGCUCAUCACAUCCUGGGGCUGAAGUAGGUCCCAAGGGUAUGGCUGUUCGCCAUUUAAAGUGGUACGCGAGCUGGGUUUAGAACGUCGUGAGACAGUUCGGUCCCUAUCUGCCGUGGGCGCUGGAGAAUUGAGGGGGGCUGCUCCUAGUACGAGAGGACCGGAGUGGACGCAUCACUGGUGUUCGGGUUGUCAUGCCAAUGGCACUGCCCGGUAGCUAAAUGCGGAAGAGAUAAGUGCUGAAAGCAUCUAAGCACGAAACUUGCCCCGAGAUGAGUUCUCCCUGAGACUUUAAGUCUCCUGAAGGAACGUUAAAGACGAUGACGUUGAUAGGCCGGGUGUGUAAGCGCAGCGAUGCGUUGAGCUAACCGGUACUAAUGAACCGUGAGGCUUAACCUUACAACGCCGAAG
This 2923-nucleotide ribosomal RNA is filed under the name Klebsiella pneumoniae. RNAcentral describes it as "bacterial LSU rRNA". It matches the Rfam family "Bacterial large subunit ribosomal RNA". The record is from RNAcentral. Lineage: Bacteria; Pseudomonadati; Pseudomonadota; Gammaproteobacteria; Enterobacterales; Enterobacteriaceae.